AUGCAAGUCGAACGAGAGAUGAAGAGCUUGCUUUCAAAUCGAGUGGCGAACGGGUGGGUAACGCGUGAGGAACCUGCCUCAAAGAGGGGGACAACAGUUGGAAACGACUGCUAAUACCGCAUAAGCCCACGGCUCGGCAUCGAGCAGGGGGAAAAGGAGCAAUCCGCUUUGAGAUGGCCUCGCGUCCGAUUAGCUAGUUGGUGAGGUAACGGCCCACCAAGGCGACGAUCGGUAGCCGGACUGAGAGGUUGAACGGCCACAUUGGGACUGAGACACGGCCCAGACUCCUACGGGAGGCAGCAGUGGGGAAUAUUGCACAAUGGGGGAAACCCUGAUGCAGCGACGCCGCGUGGAGGAAGAAGGUCUUCGGAUUGUAAACUCCUGUUGUUGAGGAAGAUAAUGACGGUACUCAACAAGGAAGUGACGGCUAACUACGUGCCAGCAGCCGCGGUAAAACGUAGGUCACAAGCGUUGUCCGGAAUUACUGGGUGUAAAGGGAGCGCAGGCGGGAGAACAAGUUGGAAGUGAAAUCCAUGGGCUCAACCCAUGAACUGCUUUCAAAACUGUUUUUCUUGAGUAGUGCAGAGGUAGGCGGAAUUCCCGGUGUAGCGGUGGAAUGCGUAGAUAUCGGGAGGAACACCAGUGGCGAAGGCGGCCUACUGGGCACCAACUGACGCUGAGGCUCGAAAGUGUGGG
Molecule: ribosomal RNA, 696 nt
Filed under: uncultured bacterium
Lineage: Bacteria
Description: bacterial SSU rRNA
Rfam family: Bacterial small subunit ribosomal RNA
Source: RNAcentral